CCCUUAGAUGUUCUGGGCCGCACGCGCGCUACACUGAUGCAUUCAACGAGUCCAACCUUGACCGAGAGGUCCGGGUAAUCUUUGAAACUGCAUCGUGAUGGGGCUAGAUUAUUGCAAUUAUUAAUCUUCAACGAGGAAUGCCUAGUAAGCGUUAUUCAUCAAAUCGCGUUGAUUACGUCCCUGCCCUUUGUACACACCGCCCGUCGCUCCUACCGAUUGAGUGUGUUGGUGAGGAGUUUGGAUUGGCCUCGGAAGGUGGUUCGCCACCGUCCGUAGCUGAGAAGUUCUCCAAACCGCCCCACUUAGAGGAAGGAGAAGUCGUAACA
Molecule: ribosomal RNA, 326 nt
Filed under: uncultured eukaryote
Lineage: Eukaryota
Description: partial 18S ribosomal RNA
Rfam family: Eukaryotic small subunit ribosomal RNA
Source: RNAcentral